CCUCUACUGAUAAAACAAGAGGGGAUAUUGAUAAAGCACCUGGGAGAAGACAGCAGUUUUCUUUCUGUUGCUACCCUGCUGCAGCUCUGACUUUAAAUGCAGCAGGUGCACAUGUCAGCAUGGUGUCCUCCCUUUACCCUGAAGGAAACCAUAAAGGAAAUUUAGGUGGGGGUGGUGAUGCAACUGUCUGUCAAUUGCUGCUAAUCCACUAGAGGCCAUUGUGACACAGAGUAAAGGGUGCUUGGCAGAGCAUUGCACUCCAGUGCUGCUCGGGCUGUCCUCUCUGCUCAGCUCACAGUGAUGAGUCGAGGAGUUUAUUUAGUGGCUGUUCAAGGAGUAGCAGAGAAGUGAUUCCUCUCUGUUGGGAUGUUAGGAAAUUUCCUAUUAUUGUGGAUGAAAUUCUGCUGGGCAGGAGCAUUUGAUUUGUGCAUGUAGAUCAUGUUCCAGCAACAUGGAUUGUAUCUUACUGUGGCGUUUUGGACACAACAUGUUGUACUGGACAGUUAUUUGAAAGCUAGAAAUACUCCUGACAAUUUCUUUUUUGUUUGCAGUGUUUUAAAAAAUGUGUCUGCCUAAGGACUGUUGAGGAAAUACUCUGAUGGCAGCUAGAAAUCAACUAGCUUGCACUCACUCAUCUGUGAAAAUUGAUGAAGAAAAAGGUGAUUUUUGAGGAUAUGUGUUUCUGCCAGGAUGGAUGGGCCACAGUUUCAAAAGGACUUAAAAAACAUAGCAACAACACAUUCCAACACUUCCUUCUGCUUAUGGGAAAGCACCCUGCCCUCCAAACCUAGCGCCUGGAAAAUGCGAAUUUCUCAGCCCACACUGAAGCCUUCUGGAGUAAAGCUAUUUGUGUGCAGUGAGGAGUGCAUCAUGCUUUGGCCAUAACUGGAAUGUGCACAGCUUUGUGAAGUUUCUCAGAAUGACUCAAAGAGUGGAAGCAAAUAAAAAACCACAGAGAUAUUUGUGUCUUCA
Molecule: long non-coding RNA, 972 nt
Filed under: Parus major (Great Tit)
Lineage: Eukaryota; Metazoa; Chordata; Aves; Passeriformes; Paridae
Description: lncRNA (ENSPMJG00000011896.1)
Source: RNAcentral